Molecule: long non-coding RNA, 1060 nt
Organism: Acinonyx jubatus (cheetah)
Lineage: Eukaryota; Metazoa; Chordata; Mammalia; Carnivora; Felidae
Exons: 3
Source: RefSeq, a predicted model, not a curated record
CCUCGUCUCAAAGAGCCCGUUCUUUGUUUGGUCCCCUCUCUGCUCCAUCUGUCAUUUUUUUCUGAGCCACCUCCUUGCCGUCAGCACCCGAGGAGAACACAGGUGGUUCCUGUAUUUAAAAAUCAAACCAACUCCCUCCCCCUUUCCCCAUGUCCCCUUCCCCAACCACCUCGCUCCUACGCUCAUUAUCUUCGUUCCCCACCGCAGUCCGCCUGCUACCACCGGUCCGCUACAGUGUUCUCACCAGGGACCUCAUUGCUGUUAAGCCCAGAGGAGUCCUCACCUUGCUGGACAGCAUCUGACCCUGCCCAGCAGUCCUCGACUUCAGGAAACAUCACCUUGAUUUCGAUGACGACCAAGUCCUCUGAUUUUCUCCGACUUCUCUGGAUACAUCCUGUCAGUCUUUUUCAAGUCACCCAUUCCCUACGUGUUGGGGUCUUCGGGGGGCGCUAAGCUAUCUUCUCCGGUCACCGUACACACUCUCGCUAGAUACCUCUCACCUUGGGAAGCCUGGUGUAAUCUUCUCAGACGACUUCUACACACUCCAUCAUCUCUACGGUCUCCAUGCAGCCACCACGCUGGGUCCCUGUCCCAGAGAACAGAGGGCCUUUCCAGAAGAAGCAAAGGUUCUCCUCAUGUACCGCUUUUGCAGGAAGAAACAGAGAAGGCAGAUAUCUUAAUGCCUGACCAGGGGCCGGCCGUGGUCCCCCCGCUCCCCAUCUGCUAGAAAGUUUCCACACCCACUGGGAGUCCAGCCUGCUGGAACCAGGGUGGACCUUUGAGUGUUUCUGUGGACUAGAAGACCUGAGUUUCCACUGAAUUCGAUUAUUAAUUAGCUGUGCAAUCCAGGGCACAUCACUCUCCUUCUCUGACUCUCACUUCCUCUCUGUAAUUAAGGAAUUUGGACUAAAUGAUCUCUUAAGUUCUUUUUAGCUCCACUGUUCUAUUCUCACUUUCUAAGUUGCCAUUUAUAGAUGUGGAAAGGUAGGGGCACCUGGGUGGCUCAGACGGUGAAGUGUCCGACUUCAGCUCAGGUCAUGAUCUCACGGCUUGUGAGUUC